Molecule: long non-coding RNA, 4681 nt
Organism: Cynoglossus semilaevis (tongue sole)
Lineage: Eukaryota; Metazoa; Chordata; Actinopteri; Pleuronectiformes; Cynoglossidae
Exons: 3
Source: RefSeq, a predicted model, not a curated record
AGUACAGAGAAGGUCAGAAGGAGCUACAUUGUGUAUUUGUAGAUUUAUGAGAUUUAUGAUUUUUGAGAGGACAUAUAGAUAGUUGGAGUCAGAGUAGAAGAUGCAGAGAACAGGGAGAGAUGGAAAUCAAUGAUUUGCUGUGGCAACCCCUGAAAAAAAAAGGGACAAAGCCAAAAGAAGUACACAGUGUUAUGUUCAUGCAGACUACAAUACGUCAUUAUGACUACACUUUUUGUAAAAUAACAAAUAAAAAAUAAUAUUUAUAUGUUUGCUAUUAAUUACAUUUUUUCAUUUUAUUCAUUGAAAGAAAUAUUUGUUGAUGCAGAUGAAUCAUAUCAUCACAUGCAUCGUUAUUUUAUUGGUUAUUAAUUGCUGGGCUCAGAUCAAAAUUGCUCAGGGAAGAUUAAGCAUGUUACUUUUUAAAAAAUGUAUUUUAUUUAUAUUUGUGUGUUGUGCUUGCAGAAAAUUAAAAUAAGUUGUGUCAAAGAAAUCCAGAGAAAUUUGGUGGAUGCUGACAGCAGCAAACUGACUGUUGACUGUGAACCUCCUGAAAAGUUCCAGCAAACUCAGCUGCACUUUUAGAACAAAACACAAAGUGGUAGCGGAGGCUAAAGUUUCUGUAUGGUCAGUUGCAGCCAGGGGAAAAGAGAAAUUCCAGUUUGGAGAGGAAAAAAGCUACUCUGAUGAAUGAAUAAUCCUGACCAGUAUUUGUAAUUAAUCUCCUAGCAUGCCCUCUCCUGUCAUUCUGUGGAUUGGAACCUCACACAUCAUGAGUUCACGUCUAUGAUGAAAGUAUAAGUCUGUGGCCUCCCAUGUUGGCAAGGUUUCAGCUAGAAAACCAUGAAGAAAAAAACCAUUACACUUCAAAGCCAUAUAAAAAUUGCACCCAAUUAUCCUCCUUUGAUUUACAGAUACUCAGACACUUAAAGGGACACAUUGUGCUGCCUUAGCAUGACCGCCUUACAACAUGCAGCUCCGAGGUGUCUCCGAAACUUAAGCCUGACGCCGGAUGAGUAUGUCAAGAAAUGUCCUACGAUAGUUUCGCUACCUACCCACACCCGGGGGUAGCGGUGCACUGAUCCAAAAAGUGGCGACAGCUGUAAAGGAAACGUGUGCCACUGGGGCCAUGCCAGCCUUUCACUACUACAGCUUCACUUCUCUUUUUACACCCUCAUCACUUCCUCCAUCUCUGAGACAAACACACAGAUUAUCCUUCCCUCAGAGCCAGACCCCAGGGAUGAAAAGGAUGUGAGCACCGAGCCUGGACCUGGACAAAAAGCUGUAAUUCUCCACCUUGUCUCCAGGUCCAAAAUCCAUCUGGCUGGAAAUUUAGUAUCUGUGCUUCAAUAGAGCUCUGUUUACACCAGUAGGUAGGUUUACACAAGCAAAGCAAAGAGUUCAUAUAAAAUGCAUUAACGGGGAAUAAUCCUUUAGGUCUUUGGUAAAUAGGAUGUAAUGACGAAGAAUGUACAAAGAGGGGGGCUAUUUCAAAAAUGGCUGUGGCCCAGUACCAAAACAUCUGAGUCUAUGACUUCCACUCUGUUUAGGUUUUGUUUUAUAAUUGUGAAAACAGCAGGGGUGUAAUAAAGCCAAACCUAAACCUGUACUUUUCUUCAGUCCAUUCAUCUAUAAAGAUAAAAGAUGUUAAGAGCAUCCUCUUUUUGUGAGUAAAAUGAGAGUCAGUUUUAUUAUAUAUAAAGAGAGAAGAGAGGAGAGAACAGGCAAACACAGAAAGACUGGGACCAAACCAACAAACCAGUGAUCUUUUGGCUGCAAGACAGCAACAAAUUAGAAAUUUAUAACUUGCAGUGAAUGAUAAGAAUCAGGGUUCUUAAGUUGUGAAAUCAUUAUUUUAGCCUAAGAAACUUAGAUGUAAAUAGUUAAUUUGUGAUCAAAACUCUCAAAAUGUAUAGCUCAUUCUAGCGAAGUUCAAUUUGCUUAUUGUCCUGAAUUAUAGCCAGUCUCAUGAGAUCACACAUGGCCCACAUUUAGAAAAACAACAUGGAGGGAAGGUGAAUGACAUCAUCCUGUGUCGCUCAAACAACAGCCAGUGACAGCAGCCCUCUGAGCAGAUUUAGCCCUGGGUCUGAAACAGUGGGAGUGAUUUACUACCGUGUCUGUCAGAAGUCACACAUGCCGUAGCUUAUGUGAGAGGACGCAGUGCAUCUUCCUCGCACACUAGCUCUUUUAAUUACAGCCACUCAGCACAUUCAAGCCACUGUUUUUCUACUCAGUUGUGUGACCCGGGGUCAUCCUCCGAGCAAGAACUUCAAAUUAAUUGUCUGUCAGUGAACACAAAUGGGAUCCACACACUUGUGUUUAUGAAAGCAGCUGUUUUUUUGGAGGCUCAGACACGUGUGUGUGUGAGCGUGCAUGUUUGUUUGCUGCCAGACUCUCGCUGUGAGCUCAGCAUGAAUGAGUGAGAGAGCCAUAAACACCUGAGGAAACAGGAACACACAGACACUCUCCCCCUCUCUCUCUCUCUGAAAUGCAUUUAUGGUCCUGAUUGAAGCAGGGUAAAAGCACAUUGUCACGAACAACUAAGCUCUGGCCAUGGCGAGAAUCCAACCACAACACCAGGGCAGUUAAGACGACCCUGGAUGAGUCCCAGGGGGCAUUGAAGGGGACCGAAUGCAGACCUGGGUUUAGAGGUUUAGGGGUAUGUCCUGUUGUUAACUUGCUAGGCUUCUUGACUUUAAACUCCCAACCCUGACUCACCAGUGCUCACCAGACUCUUUAACUCUGAAGUCAAGAGAUAAGGUGCAUCGUAAGAAAACAUCCAUCUCCGGGUUAGCUAGCAGCUCGUAAAAAUGGAAGUGUGGUAGCAUGGAGAGAAGGUCUGUCAGGAAAUGUCUCUGCAGACUCUACAUGGAAGAGUCCAUCAGUCCAGACAGAUGACAGUAAUGACUUCUGUCCUAAAUGAUGCACAUCUUACAUGCUUGAUAAGUUUGAAGUAAUCCGCAAUGUACAGAGUUGUGUGUUAAACACAACGCUUUCGCCAUUUGACACAUGGAAAAAGAGAGAGGUGAGUUUAGUUCUCUAACGUGAGGAACUCAAUUUGCUUUGCAAACUUGAAAUUUGUAGUUGGUCUGAAGUUGAACACUUGGCAAUGUUUAUAAAAUACUAGAGAGGAAAAGACCAUUAUCACCAUAACUGUUUUUUAUUAGUUCCUAUUUCCAAGGCACUGCUAAAACAAUCCCGAUGGAUCAAUCAUCAGAAGGCCAAAGACAAUGUUGACUUGUCCGCACAAAUCUAAUCCAAAACCCCAAUCCCAAUCCCAUUAAUAAGCAUAUAAAUCUAAGGCCAUGACAAAAUGGGUGAAGAAACCCCAAGUUAAAUUAUAAUUCCUAAAUGACUACAUUCUGUUAAUUCUAAAAUAACUUUUUUUCAGGUUCUAUUAAAAACAAAAACGAUGAAGUCGUAAACCAGAUUCUUAAAGUUUAGAAUCCAGUUUUCUACACUGUAUAACAACUGUAGUUAGAGCUGAGUGCAGAACUCACUGGAGUCUGCAUGCUGCUCAAUGAUGGAUGAAGCGUGAACUCUGACAAAAACAGUUGGCACACAAUAUUGUUGCGAACUCAGUUCUGGAUUUCCUCCAGUCAGUCUGAAUUACAACUCCAGUCUUUUUCAUGUUUGGCAAGUGCAUGCACUGUCCUGCCUGAAGACAGAAGUGAAACAAACAAAAGGUAGAUAGACUGGAAGGAUUUUUCACCAACCACUCCUUAUGUUUAGGACUAGUACAGCUCACAGUGAAAUCCCACUUUGCCAGCUGUGUUUGGCUGCGGCUUUACAUAUCAAUUCAUCUCUAGAGGCUAAGCUCUAUUAUCCUGCACUCUUUUCUCUUUCAUUUAGUCAAGUGAGGUCAUUCUCCUUUGGUCAAGGAGCUUGGCUCCUGCAGGAGAACGGCUGCUCCUCUGUCAGGUCUGAACUCUGAAAGCCAACUAGGCAUGUCUCUAAUUAGACCGACUUCUGGUGCACUUCAUCCAAUCUCGCUCUCUACUCUCCUCUCCAGUCCAGAACUAAUCACAACCAUCAGCACCACUCCCUUCAUCCCUGUUGAGCAUGGUAUCAACCACAUGAGCAAAUGGAAAUGUAUGCACAAGACCUUCUCAUAGUGGAGUUUAAAAGCCAGACAGAAGAGAUUUAUCUGAAAUUCUUAUUCAAAAGUCCUGUGUCCAACAGAGAUGUGCGGCUGGAGGGGGACUGUAGGGAGGCAGUGUGUUUGGGAGGUCUAUGACAUGCAAAGCCAUAAAUGAUGUCACCACAACACACCACAGCAACAUCUCUAUGAUGUGGUGGUCUGUUUCUGGUUCUGUGUACAUGAGGGCGGAGGAAGGACUUGGAGUUUGGCAUCAUCAAAUCCCCACCCACAGAGCCACAACACUGGAGCUCUCUUGUCAGCACAGUGUUUAUGAACCAACAACCGAGACAAAUGAGCAGCGAGAUGAUCAGAACUACUGGGAGUGAACUAGAGCCAUGGGCUGAUACGGAACAUCUAGUUUAAAACAUAUUUUGUUGUUCUCUUCUCAUGUGAUUUUAGUGGCUCUUAAUGUUCUUAUAUGGAUAUAAAUGGGAACGAGAGACUAAUGAAAAAAGAGACAUGUCACACUGCACACGUCAAUAAAUUAAAUACAUGCAGUAAAAAUGUUUCAUAAACUACAUUGUAAAUAGACCAAAAUGA